Molecule: ribosomal RNA, 406 nt
Filed under: uncultured bacterium
Lineage: Bacteria
Description: bacterial SSU rRNA
Rfam family: Bacterial small subunit ribosomal RNA
Source: RNAcentral
UAGGGAAUUUUGCGCAAUGGGGGGAACCCUGACGCAGCGACGCCGCGUGGGUGAAGAAGGCCUUCGGGUCGUAAAGCCUUGUCAAGAGGGACGAAAAGAUGACGGUACCUCUAGAGGAAGCCCCGGCUAACUACGUGCCAGCAGCCGCGGUAAUACGUAGGGGGCUAGCGUUGUCCGGAAUUACUGGGCGUAAAGGGCGCGCAGGCGGCUGGAUAAGUCACACGUGAAAUGCACUGGCUUAACCAGUGAAGGUCGUGUGAAACUGUCUGGCUUGAGUGCAGUAGAGGAAAGUGGAAUUCCUAGUGUAGCGGUGAUAUGCGUAGAUAUUAGGAGGAACACCAGUGGCGAAGGCGGCUUUCUGGGCUGCAACUGACGCUGAGGCGCGAAAGCUGGGGGAGCGAACGGG